Molecule: long non-coding RNA, 10859 nt
Organism: Numida meleagris (helmeted guineafowl)
Lineage: Eukaryota; Metazoa; Chordata; Aves; Galliformes; Numididae
Exons: 24
Source: RefSeq, a predicted model, not a curated record
GGCUCAAUCAGUGGAGAACAGCAACACCUGGAGCAGCUGACAGGAGGCACACCUGUAGAAGUCUUGGUUUUCCUCUCCCUGGGAUGUGUCCUCUGAGCUGUUCUUCUAAGAGAAGGUUUGGGUUGGAGGUUAGGAUCAGUUUUGGCAGGGAAAAGAGGUGUAUUCUAGAUACGUGAGGACUGAAUACAGCUGUCACGAGAAGGGAAGAUUCUGUGCCUGUGAAGGACUUACAAAGGUGUUUAAAGAAGGGAUUAGCAUCACUUUAAGGGUGGGACUCAAGAAUGUGUUUUCCAUCUCAUAUUAGGGAUUAAGCAUGAGGGUCAAAACUCAGUGGGAACCGCCACCCCUCCCAGAGAUCUGCUUUGGCCUGGACAGUUUGGCUUAAUCUUGAAUACCUUUUGACUUUGAAGAUUUAAUCAUGAUCAUGAGUCAGGUCUCUGUGCUAUGGGCUUCAAAUUGCUAGCAGGGAGACUGCCACAAUUUCAGCUGCAAUAUUUGAUGGAUAAAUCCCUUAUCCCAUCUGUUUGCUUAAUCCAGGAUUCUGAAACACGUUCAGAGAACAGAAAAGGUUCCCGUCCUGCUGUCUGGGGGAGAGUUUUGGCUGCCUGCCCAACCAACCCUAUCCCAGAGUCCUCCCAGGUGCGGGGACAAGGCUGCCCACCGUGGCACUGGUAUCGACAUAACUGAUAGCUCUCAACAUGCUGCAUCAGAAAAAGCACAGAUAAAUGAAACUUGCCAUGGAGUCAAAUCAGCCUCAGCAGGACCUGCACGGAUCAGCUGUGAUCACCAGGGUUGCACAACCUUGCACAGGUCUUCUCUCUUUGUUUUCUUGAAUUUUUCCAAGAGUUCCGGCCUGGCCACGCUGGUUUUGUGCUAAUGGACACCUAGAAAAAUAUACAAGCACUAAUUGAAGAGUCUGAGCAUGUCUCAGUGGCCCUGCGCUCCCAGCACACACAGCCAUCUGCAGCCACCAGUCAUUCGGAGCAGCCUCUCAUGGGCUGGCUUUCCUACAGGGAGUUUCUCACAGCAGGAUCAGCCACCCUUCCAGCACAUCACAGGUGUUCUCCACAUGGCGUGAGCAGGCUUUUUGCUGGGAACAGGGUGUGUGCGGGCUGAAAAGCACUGAGGAGGAACUGAGGCCAUACCUGAUCCUGGGGGGUGCCCAGAGCAGCUCUGCAAGCAAGGUUAGCGCCUUUGCUCCUCUGUCAUCACCAGUCCCUGAGAGCAAUCACCACCCACCAGCAGUUCCUCAAGAUAAGACCGAGCCAGCUGGGAGAAGAAAUCCUUUGAUAUUUCCCUGCCUCGCUGAAGACAAUCUCAUUAAGCUCCUGCAGAGGUACUGGGAGAAAAGGAACUGAUUCUGAGUAUACUUCCAAAAGACACUGAAGAAGCAGCAGGAAAAUUCUGGUUUGCACUGAGGGAGUUGUGGCAGACAGCACAGCUUGCAUGGAUGUCUCAGCAACCAGUCUGCAAGCUCCAGCAGGACCCAAGGGCCUGGGCAGAAUGAGGCCGAGUGCGGUGCUGGGAUGUCCCCGAUCCUCCCACGGAUAUCAGCAGCUGCCACACCUGGAGUCUGCAGCAAAGCUCCUUCCUCCAGAGGCCAAGAGCUGAGCCUACUGUUUCCAGCAAGAGCCUCCAGUGACCUCUCCAAGGAAUGGUGGGGAGAACUGCUUUACCAGAAUGGUUACAACAGGCAUGUGGAGAAGGCCAACAGAGUUUUUAUCUGCACCCUCAGCCUCAGUCAGCAUGCUUUGAUGGCUGUUUCCCUACAAGAAAAUCUUGUACCAUACAAUUGCUACUGGAAAGCAAACAAGAGGAAUUGCACUUCUCUCCAACAGAUGACUUCUCAUCCCUUGCAGCAUCAGAAGCAGAAAUCCCUGCAUGCCCAGCUCAAUUAGGUUCAGUGCAAGCUGGUUUAGAUACCUAAAUACCAAUGGAAAGCUUGGAUGCAAGCUAUGCACAAAAGUGACAGCUUUCUCCCAGCACAGCAGAGCUAAAUUUCCCCCAGGACAGCAAGGACAGUGGAAGAAAUCAACCUUCCCCAGCUGGAGCAAGGCUGCUGCAGCUUGCGUGAGCUGUCACACGGCCUGCAGGACAGGAAGGCCCUUUCCAUCAAAGCAUAACUGCUCUGGGAGAGCCUCUGCAGGAAAGCCAGAACAAUGGAACACCAAAGUAACCUUGCUUCUCCAGGCAGAUUUGGGGAUAAAACAGAGGAGGAGUGGCGCUGGCUUGAUGCCACAGCUCUGCAUGCAGUGAGGAUGGAGAAGCUGCGAUAACAUGUCUCCUUGGAUGAGGCUUUAAAAAUAUGGCCCUCACUUUCUUGUUAUUUUUUCAAGCAUUACAUAAAUGUUCCCCUUAAAAGGCCAAAGGCAGAUGUUUUCUUAGGACAAGGAAGUCAGGAAGAGGCAAAGCAAGCAAAAACAUCUGAUAAGUCUGGGAAAAAAAAAAAAAACAACCCUUGGCUAACUUAUUUUUCCCCCUCUUAAACAGUCAUGUUUAAAGCACACUGCAGAGCUCUGCCUAGAGGAAAAGCAGAGCCAAGCACUGGACAAUAACACUCGCUUUCUGGUAAGGAACACUGUCCUCGUUGCCUCCCUGUGGUAACUCGGGAAGUCCCAUCCUCUGCCAGCCAGGAGAGCUGGCUGAAAGCCCCUGCCAGCAGCUCCUAACGCAGCACCUGCAUGCUGGCAAAGCGGGGUUUGCAGUGCUCCUUGGGUUCGGGGAAAGGGCAAGCAAGCCACUGUCACUCACAGGAAGCGUCCGGUCCCCGAAGAGCGUGGCAGAGGCUUCAUCCGCGCCUUGGGGUCUGCUGGGAGCGGACCUUGUGCUUCCCUCCGAGCAUCCCGGAGGACAGCCGGGCCCGGCCGAAAGCUCCAGGACUUGCGGGUUUGGGGAUUUGCAGUUGGACCGCCUUGUCACAAGGUGGCAGGGACGUGACACUCUCGGGCAGGCUCCCGUUCUAAGCCUCACUGCUUCCCUUACCUAAAAAGAAGGGGAGUUAUCAGCAGUUCUUUGUCGUUUUCUUUGCAGCAGUCUUUGGGAUAGCUCAAAGGGAGGAUUAAUAGUUAUUUAAAGUUUUCAUAUUCUACCGUUCCGCACUAAAAAAAAUAAAAGAAAUAGCUUUGCUUCCUUCUGCCUGAAAGCCACGGUGUGACAUCGGAGAGUGAAGUUGUGUUAGCUCUGACUUCCCAGCGUGGAUGCACAGCUUUGGGCUCUGAUAGCAAGCAUUUGCACACAUAUAGGGCCAAUUCCUCUCUAUUGGUGCGCUUCCCACAGCUUUCACCCCUUCACAUGUCUGGAGUUUUUGUGAUUUUACCGCUGUGCUCUCUCAAGGACAUUGCAGACUGCCAUGGCAGGGAGUGGAAUCCCACCUGGUAAUGAUAAGAUAAGAUUUGUGUUAAUGAGCUACUAACAACCUGCAGGUAAAUGUUGAGUUAAUCACUGGAGCCCAGGCUGAUCAUUGUCUCUUUAUGCCUCUUCCCUGGCAGUCUUUAGAGACAGGAUUGUCAGGUUUUUAAUCUGAUGUGCAUGCAGCGAGAGAUUACUUUGCUGUCAUUCUGCAGAAAAUGUCCCUAUCGUGCAGCAGGAGGUAACAGUAACAAAUUGCUGACAUACAAAUUCAGCUUUGCACAAAUAGCAGUGCAGGAUGCCUGCUGGUCCGAGCAGUAACCAGACCAUUGCGAAUGAGAAGAAUCGACACAGGAGAAGGAAACGAGCUGAAAAAUGUAUCCAGGUAGAGCAGGUAGCAUUAUAAAGCAAUUAUCCACAAGCUGCUGUUCACUGAAAAAUAUUUGGCUUUUUUGAGCACAAUAGAGCACCCCAGAAGGUGCUUUUGUGGGUCAGAUGAGUAUGCUUCAUAUCUCAUCCUGAGGCUCCCUGAGAUUUGUUUUCUUUGUGAGCUGAAACUCACAUUUUGAUAUAUGCCAACAAAGAGUAAUCAGAAGUUUUGCCAGUUAUCCAAAGCACAGACUGCUGCAGACAAACGAGCUUGAGCCCUUACCCCUUUCCUGGGGUGUAAUGAAAUACCUCAUGCUUCUUCUGUCUCUCUUGUGGCAGCUUCUGAUCACUGCUUUCAAGAGAGUCCCUGAUUUAGCUCAGGUGUUUAACAUCAGUAUGAACUUUCCUGGGAAAAGCCAUCCCAGCCCCAAGUCUGCUGGUAGGGAACACCUCCAGGUCUCAGGCAGAGCUCCUGAAAGUGAUUUUAGUUCCUGGUGGAUUUUGGAUGGAAAGGUCCCACCCCACCUUCUGGAGGAACAUCAAAGAAAUUGUCAGAAGAAAGUAAAGGAGCCCUGUUGUUCACAGCCAUGGCAACUGGAAAACUCACGGCAUGAAAGAAACAGCACCACAGAAAGCCCUCUGCCAGUGAAUGGGAAGUAUAUAUAUGUAUAAUAGAAUCAUAGAAUAUCCUGAUUUGGAAGAAACCCAUAAGGAUCAUUGAGUCCAACUCCUGGCUCCACAAAACACCACCCAAAAACCAGACCUCAUACAGAAAAGCAGCGAGUUAUGCACAGCCAAGCCCAAAUCCAGUUUUGAGGGAUUUUCCUCCAGAGGACAGAGAUAGUCUGAGAUAAGAGUACCAGCAGAGUCAGGGAUGUGAUUUGCUGGAGCUCUCUCUCCCAUAAGCCUUUCCUUCACACUUACUUCCCACCCACCAUGUCACAUGGCAGAUUUCUGCAGGUACCAGCAUGGCUGAGAACCCCCUGGUGAAUUUAGUGCCCAGGACAGACAGACGGAUGAGCUCUGUGUUUAUUUCCACAUAACAGCUUGUCAGUUUAACAAGGAUGGCACUGCAAAAUCAGAGAAAAAAUAUGUCAGAUUUACCCACUGCGUGUCUGUAUUGCAUUGAGGAGGAGUUCAUUGCUCUUUUCCUUUGACAGGACAUCCUUAGCCCGUAGCUCUAUUUUCACACUGCUAAAGCUAUGUUAAAAUCAUCGAGGGGUCAGCUGCAAGCCUGCAGCACUGAGGCAGCGCACCUCUAAAUACAGGCUGGUGGCUCUUCGCACUUACAGGAGGGUGGGAAAAGCAUCUCCAGCAGCAGACUGCUGGGUUUAUUUGGCGUAUUCAUAAUAGAAAAAUGGGCACUGAAUAAAAGAUUUAAAAAAUGCACUUAUUGUCUGUGAUCAUGUUGCCAAGUUCCAGCCUAUAGCUACUUGUCACCCUAUACUGAAAAGCUGGUAGACCUUUAAUUUUAGCCUCUUUUGUUCCCCAUAUGCCAGAUGCAAUUAUGUGUUUAGUCCAUUUACAGAAGGCAUUUCCUAACCCAUUUUCUUUCAUAUUUUCAGAGAGAAGCGUGUGCUUGCAGAGCACAGGCUGUGUGCAGCUGCAGGUCAGCACUCAGCAAUCACUGCAGGAAGACCCCUCCUCUCCUCCUGCAGGGGGAUUUGCUGAUCUGGUAGUGCUGUGUGGAAGGGCUGCGCUGACUCCGUGGGAUGGGGCUGUCUAACAGACGAAGUGCGCAGGAUUUGCAUUGACCGAUGCCUGCGUGGCUUCAGAGCUGUUUAUGGAUGUAAGGCUUGUCGUGUCUCUUCUCCCAGACACCUCGCUGCUGUCACAGCUCAGCGUUUGCCGUAUGUUUCAGCCCAGUGCUCGAAGGUCUGACACUGCUUCCUGAUAACCGGGUGCCUCUUGGAGGGAGGAAGGCUGUCCUAUUGUUACAGGACACAGGGCUGUACCAGGGCUCUGGAAACAGGAUUUGUGCUCAGCAUCAAGCAGCAAGAAGUGUUUGCAGCACAGUCUGAGGUGACAAUUUGGAUCCCAACAUGGUUUGAGGCUUGCAACAAACUCAGUGCUCGGGUCUGGGGCUGAAAACCUUGUUAAAAUGUCCGACUGUAAAUCACUGGAGAUUUGGCUUUGAACUUCUUUGCUCCUACCUCUUCCACCACCUUUCUCUGCCACUCUUUUCCAGAUUCUGGAAGCAGUACCUCCUGGGAGUGCUUCUUCCACCGGCCUCCUGCCAGAGCAGUGAUGCCAGGGACAAGUGCUCGGGAUCUUGUUUUUGGGGAUUGUUACCAUUGCUGGGGCUGGGACAGAAGUUUUGCUUCCCAUCUGUUUUACCAAAAGAGAACAACUGAAAGCACUGUGUAACCCCUGAUCACAGGCAAAAUAUCACACAGAAGAGAGCCUUGGACAGUGCUUUCAUUCAUCUCAGACUUGACAUACGCAAGCAUCUCCCUCAGGAACUAAGCACUGCCCUGGAAAGUCUGUGAAGGGGAAAGGAUCGGUGAAGGCACUACAGCGAAGUAAAGCUACAGUGCUUUCACUGAUCAUCAUCAGUAGCCGUGGGGACUUUGAUCGGGUGUCAUUAAGAGAAGUGGGGCAGCCAGCCCACGGGUAAGCAGUGACAAAUGCAGUGUGAACCAUCAUGUCCUGCAUGGCACAGACCAGAUUGCCAAGCUUGCUUGCUGCUGCCUGCAGCCUUGGUUCGGAGGGAAGCAAAACUUGCUCUAGAAGGAAGGUGAAAAAGAAAAAAACCCAAACCUUUCACUGCAGAAAUCUCAUCCUUCAGUUGGCAAAGCUGGCAGCUGUCAGAAGAGCAAAGCUGCACAUUGACAGAGGAAAGAAACAGCAAAAGAGCUCCCAGGACAUUGUGGAAAAACCUUAAGAUGUUGACCUCACACAGAUGGAUGUACAAACAAAGAAAACAGAAUCACAUUUCGUACAUCACCAGAGAAAGACUGAGUAGCAGUUUCCACUUCAUGACCCCUUCCCGCACAUCCUGAAUGCCAUAAGGGCUGAACUCCUCCUGUUCCACAGCACUUGGAGUUGAAAUGUGUACAUCUUGAUGCAAUAAGCCCUGAAACCCACCCCAGCAACAGGCUCUGCUCCCAGGUAUGCCACAUCCCUGAUGACCCCAGGCUGCCUGGUGAGUGGCUGGUAGCUGCCAGGGAGCAAAUGUGCAGAGGAGGGGAGGAGAGGAGAAGGGAGGGAGAGGGACAGGGACAGGGACAGGGACAGGGACAUGGAGGGGAGGAGAGGAAGUGGUUGCAGCACAGAGGAAUUUGGGGCUGCAGGACAGAGAUGUGAGCUGUCAGCCAGGUUCAGGGACCUUGGAGCAGCUUGCUACAAAAUGAGAAUAGCACAUAAAUAAACUUAAGGUUUUAAUUAACAUGUUCUUUCAUUCAUGCACAAAAUUAAAAACCCAUCCAUCCUCAAUCAUCACUAUCCUUUUUUUUUUUUUAAUUUAAUUAGGAGUUUUUACUAUACUAAUUGUUACAUUUGUCCAAUUCCAUCAAAAUCAAACUAAUGACAGCCAGAUGGUUGCGACUCUCAAGAUGCCUUACUCAGGGCUAAUCCAUGCCCUCUGCUGUGCAGACGCAGGGAGCAGAGGGAGCCCGUGCUCUUCCUCCGGGCACCAAAAAGGACAGAUUAAAAACACAAACUUGUUUGGCAAGAGGCAAAACUGCUGAAGAUGGUUCUCCUGACACUGAGCUGGGAUUAUCCACCCGUUCAUAUGCUGUGCUGAACAACAUGCAAAGAAGUAAAUGCAGAAGAAUAAGGUAAUGUUCCUGGAUCAGAAACAAGGUGCAUUUGACCUCUUCAGUCAAUGUGUGAAGGAUGUGAAGAUUCAUAUGCGCUCCCUCCCCAUCAUACUGCAGAGACUUCUCCAUCCUCUUGCCCACCCUGCAGCCCCUGCUUCAUCCAUAACCUACACAGGCAAAAUUAUUAAGAGCAAGAUUAGUAUCCACUGUUUUUGUUCCACAGUAACAGACUCAAGAUGUUGUUCCUGGCAGCUCCUGAUAAUGCAUGCAUGUUACUAAUUAGAACAGUUUAUUUAAGAAGCAGUGGGUCAAACCUGUUGUGCUCACUUCAAUGAUACUUGAAAAUUAUUACAGGGUGCACCCAUUGUAAGUUAGGAUAAUUAAGGCUGCUGGUAUCAACACUCUGCCCUUCCUUAUUGCCAGUUUAAUUUCCUUGAACAUUUUUACAUCCUUCUCCUCAUUCUGCCUUAGGGGUUUGUAGUAAAAUUCAAUAACCAUUUUCCUUUCUAAUUCUCUAUUAAAGUAUCAUCCUGUUUCACCAUCACACUUAGAGCCGAAGUAAGCCUCUCUGCAGCCUUGCCUGCUGCUGUAGCUUCCCUCUGCUUGGGGCACUGUCCACCCAGAAACCAGGGGAGCUUGUGCAACUCCUCUGACACAUCCUGCAAGCAGCUUUCUUCAGGUCAGUAAGAACCUCACUGAGGACUUUGAGGCAGGCUUGAACACCCACGGAUUUUGGAAGUGUUGACUAUUCAAGCACUGGAGUAGACAUUUUGGAGUCAUCUCUUGGACUUAGUAGUCUUGCCAGAUAUUUUUUACUUACUUCAACCCUGUUAGACAUAGCAGGCAUAUGCUUCCAGAAGACACGUGGCCAGCCCAACAUGGUGCCCUGUCCAGAUCCAGGAGUCCUGGCUAGGGAUCACUUGCCCCACACCAGGACAGCAUACUGGGAUGGGGAUCAUGCAUACUGGUUAUGGCUCUGCCCUCAGCUGCUUUGUCCUGAGAGCCGUGCUCCAGGACAAAACUCCCCAGCAGACUGAUUUUUCACAGAAGCACAAGUCAUUGAUUCAGAUGGGUAAGGGCAAUUUAUUUCCUCAUCUUAACUAGCUCACCUCAUCCCUGCAGAGCCCCAAACCCACCUGCCUGACACAGCCAUGCAUCAUCACUACAGCCUUUAAACGGACAACUUCAGUUUUGCAUCUUUCCAUUUUUUGACGGACAACUUUGUUAAGAAGAAAAAUAUAUGAUCACAACUCAUGGUUACAAAGAAAAAAUAUUACUGCCCUCCUGAGGCAGACAAGGAAGGGUUAAAUGGCACCUGGGGCCUAAUGACUGCACGCUGAAGCUAUAAAAGGCUGCAGGAGGAGCAUGAGCCUUUGGAAGGAAGAUUUGGAAGUGGUUUCUGGUGUAGUUUAUACAGCUGGACAAGAGGAAAUGAGGUGUGACUGUGCUGCUAAAUGUAAGUGAUUUUAGUGGGGAAAGGGCUGGGGUGUUGUGUCAGUUGGAGAUGUUAGUUCUCAGGAGUCAAAAACUCUUCUGAUUACCUACAAAAGCCUCUCCCUUCCCCAGUACCCAAGAGAGGAGAAAGCCCCAGCAGCAAUCUGUGCCAUUCAGUGGUGUCUUUGUAGUGGAGUGCUGGGCAGAACCCACAGCUGAUGCCACACAUCUGUAGGGUUUUUGACCAGGCUUCUCCUUAUAAGCAAAAGUAGAAGAGUUAUGAGACGUGUGAUGAGUGGGACAAUGAGGCAGAGUUUAACGUCUUGUUUGUGAGCAAAUUAUGUGCACGCUGUGGCAGGAGACCUGCAGAGCUGAUACAGCUAGUGCCUGAUGCUGAUGUUCAUUAGCCAGGGACAUCCUAAUCACCUGCACAGCCACUGAACUUGGCAUGAGAGCUUGGUAGUAGUGGCAACAAUCUGUUUGUCUGCAAGGGGAGCUGGAGAAGGGGGUGCUAGCACUGGGUCCCUGAGCAGCAUGCGGUGAGGUUGGUGUUUCAUCACUCCUCUCUGAUGAGUGAGGGUGGAGGCACAGAAAGGCUCGUACAACUCUGGGCCUCUAGACUAGAAUUAGUGCACUCUGUCCCUGUGGGAUACUGGAGGACUUCCUCAUUAGUGUUCAGUGAUAUAACUCCUCUAAAAAAAUGUACGGCUGCUCCAUAGAGGUUCCUCUUUUUCUCUUGCUGCUCUUGUGCUCAGGCUGCAUUAAUAUUUUGCAGCCUCAACAUGCACAAGAUCUUUUCCUCUGUAUCAAGGCCACAGUUCGCACUGGGGGUUCUGGUAUUUCUGUGCAUUUACCUCUCAGUUAUUAUGUUAGCAGAAGAUGUCAUGUGAGUUCCUGCUCUGUAAUGGAAACCUAUAUCUACUAGUUCAUGUAUUUCUAAUUUGCAAAGGUUAACAGUAGUUUGCUUAAGCCUGAAGGGAUUCCUGUCCCAGCUCUUCAGGAGAGGGCAGAACUGGGAGAGAAGAGGAAAGCUGUAUAUGCCUGAAUUCUCGACUGGAAAAUGCUGUCUUCUAGCUGCACUCCAUAGCCUGCGUGACUUGACCUUACAGGUCUAAGGGCAGACAAAAUUCAACACCCUCUGCUAUUAUUUUGUUAAGUAUUAACCCGGUAGUUGGGGUCAGCAGCCUCAAUGAGCUACAGUCCUGCUGGAGAUAACAGGAUUCAGCUUUUGGAGGCAUCUGAUGCUUAAAUAAGUACAGGGGACAUGGCACUGCACUGGGGACAUUAGGAUGGGGCCAAACUCUGUUUCAUGUAAAUCUCCAGCUCUGAGAAAGCUGACAGUGCAUCUCACUCUGUCUGCUUCUGGUUUGGAUACCCAUCUUACAACUUGAGUAUCUGCAGAAUACCUGGGGGUUUCACCUGUACUGCAAGGACUUUAUCCUGUCUGCCAAAAAGAGCUUGCAGCAGCCACGCACAUUAAUUUUACAAGUUGGGUGUUUGCCUCUGACAAGCAACUCUUCAUAUCUUUAUGGCUAGACAUUAUUAUAUUGUUCUUUCAUUUGAUAACUGCUCCAGUAAUAGCUUCCAUUUGCAGUAAAUCUCUUGUACUGUCUUUUUUUCCUCCCCAUUAAACAUAAGACAAUAACCUUUCUGGGAAGCUGUGUGGAGAGACUCGAUGAAGCUUUAGGAGGUGAGGGUAGGCAUGGGGGGCAUGGUCAGCAGUAGCAAAGCACCUGGUGGAAAAAUGCUUUUGGAGAAAUUGUAAUUAAAUCCUGAAGAACUUGAGGAAAACCUCCCAAGUAUGCAAGCUGAACUGGAAAAUGAAUAUUUAAAUACCUCUUCAAGCUAGUAAGUCUUUGUAAAGUGCUUCUCAAUACAUGGAAAAUCUCUGAGACAAGAGAACAGACAAGUCUGGAUGUGACUGAACACAAAUAUUUGACUUUAUUA